Corvus hawaiiensis (hawaiian crow) is the source of this 6720-nucleotide long non-coding RNA. RefSeq lists it as uncharacterized. NCBI's taxonomy places the organism in Eukaryota, Metazoa, Chordata, Aves, Passeriformes, Corvidae. The transcript has 2 exons. The record is from RefSeq and is a predicted model, not a curated record.
UCACUCCAUGAUUCUGUGAUAAGGAAACCUCCUAAAACUACAGUUGCAGUCACUUCCCAGAGCAGAACUGCACGUCAGACACUGCCCCUCCGCUGCUGCAGAAAUGAACAGUAAUUACAGACUUUGCCUGAUGAUCUGGUAACUGAUAAACCAAGAAAACUUAAGGAUAUCAACUAAGUUCAGUCCUCACUGUCGUCUUCAUCAUCAUCGUCGUCCUUGCUGGGAGCACACCUUUGGAAGCAGUGCACCAGGGUGGCCAGGAAGAAGCUGGAGAGAAUUGCAGCGAUGGACACGGCGACUCCAGAGAAGAUGAUGAUAAAAAGAUCUGUCAAUGACAAACUGAAUUUGCAUUCACUAAAGCUGACCUCAGAUAACUCAUUCAGAAAGAUCCUUCUGUUCUCCACAGGCAGGGAACACUGGAUUUCAUGGAGACCUGCAAGGAAGUGGAAAGGGAAACAAAUCAGCAGAAUAUUGAUGAAUUCUUCUGUUGAUCUGGGUCAGAGAUUGAAUGGCUGAAGAAAUGUUUUAGGGUUAAUUCCAGGUUUAGAAAAUUGUACAAUAUUCAGGGAAAAAUGGAACAACACUUGUCACUAUCCAGAAGCCUUUACAUAACCCCUUUGAGCAGAUCCUGGAAAUUAAGUUAUUUUACCUUCAGUCUUCCAGGGAUCAGGUGUGAUCUAGGGCCAUGAUUUGGAAGAUUUAAAAAAGUCAGUGUUGAACCCUGGAUGCAUCUAAACCUGGAGACCUGAAAGCAACUCCCACUACUCCAUCUGAACACAAACUCUGACUCCAAAACAGGGUAAGAGGGAUACUGAAGUUCCUUCCACACCCUUCUACAUUACUUUCAAUGUCGUUCCAAAACUACGGAAUUUUUUUUUUUUUUUCUGGUCAAACAACAGUUUGGGCUUAAUGGAUGCUUGUUUGCCUGUGACCUGUUUCCACCUUUUCUCUCUGGCUGUCCUGAUGCCAUGCAAACUGACAGAUAUUGUUCCCCCCUGCAUUACUGGAGAACGCCUAGAGCUGGGUUCUUUGUAGUGAAAGCAAAAACCCCCAGAUUUAUGAACUGGUGAGAAUACAGUUGGAUGCUGGAUGGUAAAAGCACACGGUUCACUGCAUAUGCCCAGCUGCCUCUUCAUUCACCACGGGGGAGCAUCAAUAGAGGGUUUUACCAGGGCUAGAAUGGAACCAAUACUAAGUGAAUUAAGUCUGUAGAGCUGCUGGCAAGGCAGCUUUUGUCUCACUAUUAAGGACAUGAAUGUAAAGGGGAAAUGUAAGAAUUGUGUGUUAAUGAUAUGAGAACUGCUGCUGAAUUACUUGAUCCACUUUCACUCUACUGAUGAUCCCUGGAUGUUCUCCCUGGUGUGGGCUCUGCCUUGCUGUGUGCACACAGAGCUCAUGGCAUUUCCAUCCUACAGCUCUGCCAUAGGACCAUGAUUUCACUUUAAACAAGGAGUAAGAUUCCCUCUGCAACUGUGAAUCCCGUUUUUCCUGUGGCUGGAUAGCUGUGGCAUGCGAUGUUUUACUAUUAAACCUGGGCUCCUCGAGUUAAUGGUGCUGCCCUGACUGAUUGUCUGGAUCCAGCCCAGCCCAGCUGUUGUAUUGAUUUGAGAAGGAGUGGAACCAAUUAUCACCCUGACCUACUUGACCUUGUAAUGAGUUUUGUAUUAAAUUUUGAUCCCUAAAACCUGUCCUGUAUCUGUUGUGUUUGCCUAAAGUUCUGUUGCCUUCCUCUUUCUCAUGCUUUUCUGACUGAGAAGAUCCUGAGAGCUGCCCCAGCAGUGUCAGCAGUCAGCCUGCCCAAGGCUCACUGGUUCCUGCAGGCAAUCUGCUGCCCAAAGCCGUGCUGGUUUUCCUGAGCCCGGAGUGCACAGCAGAUGGUGAACAAGCACAGCUGCCUCUGGAGAUCUGUGAAACCUUCUGUCAUCAGAACUGACCUGGAAGGGAAAGCAGCUACAUGGUUUCAAACAUCCUCUGAGACUUCUGGAAAUCUGACCCUGCAAUAUUUGUAUCACGUCUUGUGCACGAGCUGAUACCCCAGAGCACUUGGGCACGCAGAGGCUGAGGAGGUACAAACCUGUCCUCUGCGGCCUCUGACUGAGCUCCUUCUGCAAACCUGCCUACUGAAAGAACUGAGAGCUGGCCACCAAGUCAUAUUUUCAUUUCAGUAGGACUUGGAAGUAGCAGCUCUAGGCAUCAAUCAGAGUAAGCAAAAUGGGGGACAGAUGGAUAUCCUUCUGUGUUCAAAACCAUGAGAAAUGAGGGAGGAGGCAAAAGCCAUAGGCUGGAAUUUCAAGACCUGUGUCUUUUUCAUCAGAUUUUAAAAAGCAAAGAUAUUUUCAGUAAAUAAAUAUAAUCCUGACAGUAAUCAAAGCAGUUGCAUGAGUGUAACAUAUUGCAAAUUCAUUUGAAGAGGAAAUCCUUGCUAAUAGGAAAACAUCACUGCAGCAUUUUGGCAGGAAAACCUGCACCAAGUGAAUACGGCACUGACACAAAUUCCAUUUCACUUGUAGCAAGCACAAAAGUUUCUGUACAACUGUGUUUCUGUAAAAGAAAUCACUCUAACAGAGGCUGAGACCUCCUGAGAAUUGCUGUUUUCAGAGCAGCUGAGUCAAGCUCCUCAAAAGAAAGAGGGCACAGGUGACCAUAAGCAACUCUACUUUUUAAAAUUUCUAUCCAACUGCAAAAGAAAUUCUCAACUGCCAGCAUUUAAAAUACCUCUGUGCUGGAGUGAUAGGAUGGAAUAUCAGAUCUGAGCUUCAUAAGGAAGGAAGUAGAAAAAGAAUAUAUUGAACAAAAAAGAGAGCAAAGAAGACUCCAAAAGAAAACUCUUGUCUUGAGCAGUUCUACAUACUGCAGCCCUUGGCUUUAGAGCUAACUUACCAUGGCAGCAUUUGCCCAGGAUCCCAGACAUGGAGAGGAGCUCGCUCCUUCCUUCCCAACAGCAGUUCUGCCAUGGAUCAAAGCUGAGCCUGUGAGCUCUAUUCCUAUUUCCCUGAUGCUUUCACUUUACAUCACAACACACAGAAUGCAAACAGCAGAGGAUCUGCAACACACCAAGGCACUUAGAGGGUAUUUCUUGUUAUGAGAAUCAGUGUACUGUAAGGAUUUUGAGACUCAUUAUACAAUAAGGGGAAAUAAAGACGCUCCUCUCCAUGUAGCCAUGGGUACUGGAAUCUAGGUCAUGCUCUCAAACCAAAUAGAUUAAAUGGGAAUUUGCUACUUGCUUUAUUCUGUGACAAGCCAACAGGCUUGUGUGGCCUCAAGUUUUUAGAGAAUUCUUAGUUGUUGGGAAUAACAGAUGCUAGUAGAGGAAAUACAGCACCACAGACCAGGGGCCAGUGCAGGGGCCUCGCUUGCUCCCAGCUGUACCUUCAGCUGCGCUGUGUGUGCACCACCUUUUCCAAAAGACAGGAGUGAGCUGAACUCUGCUAUCCACUCACAGGGCAGUCUCCUAAAGCUGUGCUGGAAGCAGCCUGGGAAGACUGCAGAGCUCGGUGGAAGCACGUGGCAGUGACUGAAGGAAAGGAACGCUGAUCAUUCCGUCCUGUUGGGUGGAUGUUUCUUUUCGCUCGGUCGUGACACUGUUGAAAAACCCAAUACAGCCAAACAGAAGCUUUUCUUUGGAUUCCAAAGAGAAUUUGGAACAGACUGUUCAGUUGGAACAGCAGUAAGACCAGCAGUUCUAUCUCUGGUGGCACAAGGAAUUUCUCCUCCCAAAGCUGAUGCAGUGGUUGUUGCACCAGAGCUUCCAACUGUUCACCUGAAAAUAUCAUCACCUGCAGGUCACACACAUCUGCUAAAGAUGGCAAAUGGACAAACCCAUUUCAUCUGCUUCCCUCCAUAGAAACAUGGCCUUGGCUUUACAUUAUUUACAAGCAGGUUGUUCUUACGACAUGACAGUGCAGAGAAUUGAUGGUCUGUACCCCACCUGUCCUGUUGCAUUGGUGUCCACGAAUAGAUCCAUCUUUGCUCUUUGCUUGGGCAGGAAGUAAUUCCAGGGCAUUAUACACCCUCUGAAUGAACAAUGAAAUAACAAAUGACUUCUAGAAAGUGAUCAGUAUUAAUUAUAGAGUGUAGACUUUUUCCUCUGUGUGAUUCUGUUGCAUCUAGACUGGCUCAAGCAAAUCCCUGUCCCCACACACAACCUCUGGAGGACAGGAGAUGCCAUUUCCCUUCAGCUCUGCUUUCACACACUUUUACUUGAAUGGUAAUAGCUUUUAUUGUUUUUUCGGGGGGUUCUGUAUUUUUCAAUUAUUUAUUUAUUUAUUCUGUAGAAUUUAUUCUUUUAAAAGACCAGCCUGGUUGUUGUCAAGGGCAUCUCAAAGCAGCUUGCUAUUUAGUGCUUGGCUGCAGCAAGAGAGCCUUUGAUGACAGUUAUAUAUAUCUACCUCAUUGCGCCCACAACCUAUUCAAGGAGUUGCUUCUUCAUACCAAACAAAAUUGUAAAUGAAAUAACAAGUGGGAGUGUGCUAUAAAUACACAGCUUGGGUUAUUUUGGUCAGGGCCAUCCCAUUAUCUGUAAUGACUCCAGCUGUCCAAAGGACAAUGUCACACACCCUGUAUCCUUCUGCUAUGUCAUCAGAAGGAGCAGAUGUAUUGCACUGGUACUGAUUGCUUUGAAGUGCCAGGCAAGGGACAGGUGCUGGAUUCUACACGGGCUUGUCUCAACACUGGAAAAAAAAAAGGAUGAAAAUACAGGUCUAUACCCUGAGGAAGAGAUUGUCUAAGUAACAUGGGAAGUGUGAAAAUGCUGGAAUUCCAGAACCACAAUGCUAAAAGGGAAGGUGGGUUUUUAAAAAGAAUUAAAUUCUCAAAUAGGUUUCAGAACAAUAUGACUUUGAACGCCUUAUAUUAGAGGAGUACAACUCCACCAAGUACAGCACUUAAACCCUUCCAAUAAAUCACAGGCAAUUGGGCUGCUAGAUCCUAAAAACCACUCUGAGUUUGUUUCUGUACAGGACUAUGCCCAGGCUGAAAUCCUUUAAAUCCUGUAAAACUGAACCUCCUAAAAAUGGAAGCAGCCCAAAAACAGUCUGCGUGCAAAUAAUGAAUAAUUUCCUUGUAAAUUACUGAAAACAGACCAACAAUGCUGUAAUGCCCCAAAGUUAUAACUGGAUGGAUCUCACCAUCUCAAAAACCCCACAAAAGCCCAGAGGCCCUGUUUCAUCUGAACCCUGCUGGGACUUUGUAGCCAUAAUCCAACCACGUUUCUCACAGGUUCUUGUGAUGAGGAAUUUUUAAACCACUGAGUGCACUGACAUUGCCUGCUCCUGGCUGUGCAGUGGGUUUUCCCUGGAUGUAUUGACUGAUGCCCUACUGCUCUGUGAGCUUUGGUUUAUACUCCCCUAGCUAAAGACAAGCAUCAAGAGGCAUCACUUUCCCCAGGUCCACUUGACUUUGUUUUGAAGGACUCCUUGUGCCUUUCUGUCUCUGCUUAUUUCUAAUCCCUCUGCUAAAUACAUCUCUUAUUGGAGAACUUCUGGAAUUCAUUAUCACUUCAGUGUUAUGGUCUGUCUGUUAGCAGACAGAGAUCUAUAAUUUUGGAUGCUGAAUUACAAAACAAAACAAAACAAGAAAACAGGAGAAAAACAAAAAGAAGAAAAAGAAGCCUCAAGUCUGUUGGGGUCUUUUGGAGUUCACAAAAAGCAGGUACCAGGAGAAGUAGUUUCCUACUGUUCAGCAAUAGGCAGCAGGAUGAGAUAAUGCAAACACACACUGGAACGUGCACUAGGAUGUAUAGGAAAUACAUCCACAGAAAUAUCUGAAACCAUAAAUGUUUAAAUGGGCUACAUGCACACAUGUUCAUUACUAUGGAUACAGUACAUGUAAGAGCACUACAAUAGGCCUUUUUUUAGAGUGAAUUUGGUAUUUGCCCUUUUGGGUGGAAUUUAGCUGUUUCCUCAUGUUGGUGAAUGUAGUUGACACAGAUUUGAAAUGUUUAAAUGUGGCAUGUUGUUUCUUGUGUGGUAUUUUGCUCCCAGCUAUGGUUUGCCUUAGUCUCCUUAAACACUGUCACAAAUGUAUUAAAUGUAUUAAUAAGCAGUGAGAGAGGCACUGCCUCUGAAGUGAGAUGAGAUUUCAUUGAAAAUAGCCUCGAGCAAUCAGAACAGUAAGGCUUAAAAAACUUGAAGCCUAGAUUUAGGUCCUUAAAUAAAACUUUUAGGGCCAAGUGUCCUAAAGAUUUGCAGAACAACUUCAGAGGGUACUUAGCAGUUUGUCUCAAUGCCUAAAUAUAAAGUUCAACAUCAGGUAUUCACAUCUGCAAAUGUUGUCCUCACAUCUUUAAAUCUGUGAAAGAUGGAAGUACUCCAAAUAACCUUAGGAUGGAAGAAACAGAGUGAAAAGCCAGUGGCAGUCAGAUCAUUUUACUGAAAAUGUCUGGGAGAUCAAAUUAUAUAUUUAUAUAUGUAUAUAUAGAAACAGAUUUGAUGCGCUUGUUAAGGAAUACAAUUUCUGUGAGGAGCUUCUGCUUGAGCGGGAUAAAAGCUGCUGAAUGUGUGAAAUGUCUUAGGGCUUUUAAUUCCUUCAGAUCUUCUGUUCUGUCCUGGUGAUGUGGAAGCAUGUGCAUGAUACUGGGGGAGAGCUGAUGGUUGCAAUGGACAGAACAGCCUGUCCUUUCUAGCUGCAGCUCGCUCAGGUUCUAUAUUGGUAUAUGAAGCUAAGGAGCCUUCUCUCCACAGCAGAUGAACAAAUAAGUGCUAAUAAAGACUGAUAAGUCAA